AUUGAACGCUGGCGGCAUGCUUUACACAUGCGAGUCGAGCGGCAGCGCGGGGGCAACCCUGGCGGCGAGCGGCGAACGGGUGAGUAAUGCAUCGGAACGUAUCCUCGAGUGGGGGAUAACCCAGCGAAAGUUGGGCUAAUACCGCAUGAGCUCUGAGGAGGAAAGCGGGGGACCUGCGAGGGCCUCGCGCUGGAGGAGCGGCCGAUGUCCGAUUAGCUAGUUGGUGGGGUAAAGGCUUACCAAGGCGACGAUCGGUAGCUGGUCUGAGAGGAUGAUCAGCCACACUGGGACUGAGACACGGCCCAGACUCCUACGGGAGGCAGCAGUGGGGAAUUUUGGACAAUGGGGGCAACCCUGAUCCAGCCAUGCCGCGUGAGUGAAGAAGGCCUUCGGGUUGUAAAGCUCUUUCGGACGGAACGAAAUGGGCGGGACUAAUACUCCUAUCUGAUGACGGUACCGUAAGAAGAAGCACCGGCUAACUACGUG
Molecule: ribosomal RNA, 486 nt
Filed under: uncultured bacterium
Lineage: Bacteria
Description: partial 16S ribosomal RNA
Rfam family: Bacterial small subunit ribosomal RNA
Source: RNAcentral